This 571-nucleotide long non-coding RNA is filed under the name Brassica rapa (field mustard). RNAcentral's name for it is "long non-coding RNA (BRAP_LNC004678)". The record is from RNAcentral. Lineage: Eukaryota; Viridiplantae; Streptophyta; Magnoliopsida; Brassicales; Brassicaceae.
UUAAUGAAUUUUUGAAAAAUUACAUAAACUAACAUUUUUUUAAUACCACUUUUUAUGUUUAUUUUAAUCAUAUUUAACUUUAGUUUUAAAGAAGAUAAAUAGACAUUUAUGCCCCUAAGAUUAACUAUUAUAGAAUUAGGGUUUGGAUUUGAGGGAGAGUCUUGAAGGGUGGAGUUUAGAAUUAAAAAAAAAAACUAAAAAUUAAAAAACUAAAAAUUUGAAUAAUAGUUUUAAAAAUAAUUUUCAAAUUUCAAAAAGAAAAAAGAAAAAUAAAAAUUAGAAAAAGAAAAAUAAUUGAAUUUUCUUUUUGAAAAAAAUAGAAAGAUAAAUAAAAAAUUAUAAAAAAGUUUGAAUUAUAAAACUUAUAAUUCUAUAAUUACUAAAAAAAUUUAUUUUUAUAUUUUUAUUAUUUAAAUAACUAUUUAUAUUUAUGUAUCUAUAAAAAAAUGAAAUAAAACUCUUUUGCUAAUUUAAUGAAGAAAUUAUUUAUUAAAAUGUUCAUUUCCGUUGCAUUUUGGUAGCGAGCUAUUUUAGAACAUUCUCUUUAUAAAUCCAAACGUGAAUACCCGGC